Molecule: long non-coding RNA, 189 nt
Organism: Bufo bufo (common toad)
Lineage: Eukaryota; Metazoa; Chordata; Amphibia; Anura; Bufonidae
Exons: 2
Source: RefSeq, a predicted model, not a curated record
CUGAAUAGUGACCUGACCACAGGAUAGGGCUUCCAAUUGAUCUGGAGUGGAAAAAGGGGGGUGCACAGAGAACACACAGUACCUUCUGUGGGGACGAGGGGUGCACAGGAAACAAUUACACAGUACACCUGUGGGGAAUGGGGCUACUCACACAGCUAUUAGUAUGCCCAGGUGAUAUAUAUCACCUUG